RNAcentral lists this unclassified non-coding RNA (600 nucleotides) under uncultured Pleurostomatida. RNAcentral's name for it is "sequence contains 18S rRNA gene, ITS1, 5.8S rRNA gene, ITS2, 28S rRNA gene". The stretch from base 350 to 600 matches the Rfam family "Eukaryotic large subunit ribosomal RNA", at positions 1 to 260 of the family's 3401-position model. Lineage: Eukaryota; Ciliophora; Litostomatea; Pleurostomatida. The record is from RNAcentral.
GGAAGGAUCAUUUACAAUAAGUGAACUACUAACUAAUGAAAGCAUUAUUUGAACAUAAAGAAAGAACUAUAACUAACAUAGGUUGAUAAAAACUAAAUUUUCAACGAUGGAUGUCUAGGCUCCCAUAACGAUGAAGAACGCAGCAAGAAUGCGAUAUGCAGUGUGAAUUGCAGAACUAUGAAUCAUCGGAUUUUUGAACGCAACUGGCGCCGGCAAAACCGGCAUACUUGUUUCAGUGUGCGCAACAAACUAACCGAACUUAAAUGCAAGGGAAGUUCCCUUGUUAAGUACAUGCUCUUAGCAGCAGUCACUUUAUAGUGAGUUGUUAUUAGUAUAAAAAGACUUAAUUGCACCUGAAAUCAAGUAAGAUGACCCGCUGGACUUAAGCAUAUUACUAAGCGGAGGAAAAGAAAUUAACAAAGAUUGCCUUAGUAAGGGCGACUGAACCGGCAAAAGCUCGAAAUUGGAAUCAUAGAUUCAAUGAAUCUUUGAAUUGUAAUCAGGCAAACCUAAAUACUAUAAGUUGUUUAACAGUAUCGAAAGACUGGCCAUAGAGGGUGCUAGCCCCGUAAAACAAUAGAUAGAGUAAGGUUUGAUCCA